GACGAACGCUGGCGGCGUGCUUAACACAUGCAAGUCGAACGGAAAGGCCCUGCUUUUGUGGGGUGCUCGAGUGGCGAACGGGUGAGUAACACGCGAGUAACCUGCCCUUGUCUUUGGGAUAACUUCAGGAAACUGGGGCUAAUACCGGGUAGGAGCUCCUGCUGCAUGGUGGGGGUUGGAAAGUUUCGGCGGUUGGGGAUGGUCUCGCGGCUUACCGGCUUGUUGGUGGGGUUGUGGCUUACCAAGGGUUCGACGGGUAGCCGGCCUGGGAGGGUGACCGGCCACAUUGGGACUGAGGUACGGACCAGACUGCUACGGGAGGCAGCAGUGGGGAAUCUUGCACAAUGGGCGGAAGCCUGAUGCAGAAACGCCGGGUGCGGGAUGACGGCUUUCGGGUUGUAAACCGCUUUCGCAUGUGACGAAGCGUGAGUGACGGUAAUGGGUAAAGAAGCACCGGCUAACUACGUG
This 468-nucleotide ribosomal RNA is filed under the name uncultured bacterium. RNAcentral's name for it is "partial 16S ribosomal RNA". It matches the Rfam family "Bacterial small subunit ribosomal RNA", at positions 28 to 507 of the family's 1533-position model. The record is from RNAcentral.